This 492-nucleotide ribosomal RNA is filed under the name uncultured bacterium. RNAcentral's name for it is "partial 16S ribosomal RNA". It matches the Rfam family "Bacterial small subunit ribosomal RNA", at positions 29 to 507 of the family's 1533-position model. The record is from RNAcentral.
AGUGAACGCUGGCGGUAGGCCUAACACAUGCAAGUCGAACGGCAGCACAGUAAGAGCUUGCUCUUACGGGUGGCGAGUGGCGGACGGGUGAGGAAUACAUCGGAAUCUACUUUUUCGUGGGGGAUAACGUAGGGAAACUUACGCUAAUACCGCAUACGACCUACGGGUGAAAGCAGGGGAUCUUCGGACCUUGCGCGAUUGAAUGAGCCGAUGUCGGAUUAGCUAGUUGGCGGGGUAAAGGCCCACCAAGGCGACGAUCCGUAGCUGGACUGAGGGGAUGAUCAGCCACACUGGAACUGAGACCCGGUCCAGACUCCUACGGGAGGCAGCAGUGGGGAAUAUUGGACAAAGGGCGCAAGCCUGAUCCAGCCAUACCGCGUGGGUGAAGAAGGCCUUCGGGCUGUAAAGCCCUUUUGUUGGGAAAGAAAAGCAGCAGGUUAAUACCCCGCUGUUCUGACGGUACCCAAAGAAUAAGCACCGGCUAACUUCGUG